AGUGGGAUAGCUGGGUCAAAUAGUGGUGCCAUUCCCAGUUUUCCAAGGAAUCUCCAUACUGUUUUCCAUAUUGGCUGCACCAGUUUGCAGUCCCACCAGCAAU
This 103-nucleotide microRNA precursor is filed under the name Marmota monax (woodchuck). Lineage: Eukaryota; Metazoa; Chordata; Mammalia; Rodentia; Sciuridae. The record is from RNAcentral.